GAUGAACGCUGGCGGCGUGCCUAAUACAUGCAAGUCGAGCGAACAGAUGAGGAGCUUGCUCCUCUGACGUUAGCGGCGGACGGGUGAGUAACACGUGGAUAACCUACCUAUAAGACUGGGAUAACUUCGGGAAACCGGAGCUAAUACCGGAUAAUAUAUUGAACCGCAUGGUUCAAUAGUGAAAGACGGUUUUGCUGUCACUUAUAGAUGGAUCCGCGCCGCAUUAGCUAGUUGGUAAGGUAACGGCUUACCAAGGCAACGAUGCGAAGCCGACCUGAGAGGGUGAUCGGCCACACUGGAACUGAGACACGGUCCAGACUCCUACGGGAGGCAGCAGUAGGGAAUCUUCCGCAAUGGGCGAAAGCUUGACGGAGCAACGCCGCGUGAGUGAUGAAGGUCUUCGGAUCGUAAAACUCUGUUAUUAGGGAAGAACAAAUGUGUAAGUAACUAUGCACAUCUUGACGGUACCUAAUCAGAAAGCCACGGCUAACUACGUG
Molecule: ribosomal RNA, 497 nt
Filed under: uncultured bacterium
Lineage: Bacteria
Description: partial 16S ribosomal RNA
Rfam family: Bacterial small subunit ribosomal RNA
Source: RNAcentral